CUGAAGUAGUGAAGCUGCGGCCCCUUCCUGUCGAGAAAAGCCGCUAUCGUGUAGCAAGGGCCCGUACCGUAAACCGACACAGGUGGAUGAGGAGAGGAUCCUAAGGCCGGCGGGAGAAGUGUUGUUAAGGAACUCGGCAAAAUGACUCCGUAACUUCGGGAGAAGGAGUGCUGCGCAAGCAGCCGCAGAGAAAUGGCCCAAGCAACUGUUUAGCAAAAACACAGGUCUAUGCGAAACCGAAAGGUGAGGUAUAUGGGCUGACGCCUGCCCGGUGUUGGAAGGUUAAGGGGAGAGCUUAGCGCAAGCGAAGGUUUGAACUUAAGCCCCAGUAAACGGCGGCCGUAACAAUAACGGUCCUAAGGUAGCGAAAUUCCUUGUCGGGUAGUUCCGACCCGCACGAAAGGCGUAAUGAUUUGGGCACUGUCUCAACAACACACCCGGUGAAAUUGAAAUACCAGUGAAGAUGCUGGUUACCCGCGCCAGGACGGAAAGACCCCAUGGAGCUUUACUCCAGCCUGAUACUGGGAUUCGGUAUUGCAUGUACAGGAUAGGUGGGAGGCUAAGAACUUAUGGCGCCAGCCGUGAGGGAGCCGAUGUUGGGAUACCACCCCUGCAGUACUGGGUUUCUAACCUGCGCCCGUGACCCGGGCGGGGGACAAUGUCAGGCGGGGAGUUUGACUGGGGCGGUCGCCUCCGAAAGGGUAUCGGAGGCGCUCAAAGGUCUCCUCAGGAUGGUUGGAAACCAUCCAGAGAGUGCAAAGGCAGAAGGAGGCUUGACUGCGACACCGACGGGUGGAGCAGGUACGAAAGUAGGACUUAGUGAUCCGGUGGCAUAAAGUGGGAUUGCCAUCGCUCAACGGAUAAAAGCUACCCUGGGAUAACAGGCUUAUCACUCCCAAGAGUUCACAUCGACGGAGUGGUUUGGCACCUCGAUGUCGGCUCAUCGCAUCCUGGAGCUGGAGCAGGUUCCAAGGGUUGGGCUGUUCGCCCAUUAAAGCGGUACGCGAGCUGGGUUCAGAACGUCGUGAGACAGUUCGGUCCCUAUCCGGCGCGGGCGCAGGAUAUCUGAGAGGAGCUGUCCUUAGUACGAGAGGACCGGGAUGGACCGUCCGCUGGUGGACCGGUUGUCAUGCCAAUGGCACGGCCGGGUAGCCAAGACGGGAAGGGAUAAACGCUGAAGGCAUCUAAGCGUGAAGCCCCCCCUCAAGAUGAGAUAUCCAUACUCGAAAGAGUGAGAGACCCCUUAGAGACGAUGAGGUAGAUAGGGCAGAGAUGGAAGCACAGCGAUGUGUGGAGUUGACUGUUACUAAUCGGUCGAUAGCUU
This 1324-nucleotide ribosomal RNA is filed under the name metagenome. RNAcentral describes it as "bacterial LSU rRNA". It matches the Rfam family "Bacterial large subunit ribosomal RNA", at positions 1578 to 2925 of the family's 2925-position model. The record is from RNAcentral.